RNAcentral lists this ribosomal RNA (467 nucleotides) under uncultured bacterium. RNAcentral's name for it is "partial 16S ribosomal RNA". It matches the Rfam family "Bacterial small subunit ribosomal RNA", at positions 28 to 506 of the family's 1533-position model. The record is from RNAcentral.
GACGAACGCUGGCGGCGUGCUUAACACAUGCAAGUCGAACGGAAAGGCCCUGCUUUUGUGGGGUGCUCGAGUGGCGAACGGGUGAGUAACACGUGAGUAACCUGCCCUUGACUUUGGGAUAACUUCAGGAAACUGGGGCUAAUACCGGAUAGGAGCUCCUGCUGCAUGGUGGGGGUUGGAAAGUUUCGGCGGUUGGGGAUGGACUCGCGGCUUAUCAGCUUGUUGGUGGGGUAGUGGCUUACCAAGGCUUUGACGGGUAGCCGGCCUGGGAGGGUGACCGGCAACAUUGGGACUGAGAUACGGCCCAGACUCCUACGGGAGGCAGCGGUGGGGAAUAUUGCACAAUGGGCGGAAGCCUGAUGCAGCAACGCCGCGUGCGGGAUGACGGCCUUCGGGUUGUAAACCGCUUUCGCCUGUGACGAAGCGUGAGUGACGGUAAUGGGUAAAGAAACACCGGCUAACUACGU